RNAcentral lists this ribosomal RNA (446 nucleotides) under uncultured bacterium. RNAcentral describes it as "partial 16S ribosomal RNA". It matches the Rfam family "Bacterial small subunit ribosomal RNA", at positions 338 to 795 of the family's 1533-position model. The record is from RNAcentral.
CCUACGGGGUGCAGCAGUCGAGACUCAUUCACAAUGGGGGAAACCCUGAUGGUGCGACGCCGCGUGGGGGAAUGAAGGUCUUCGGAUUGUACACCCCUGUCAUGUGGGAGCAAAUUAAAAAGAUAGUACCACAAGAGGAAGAGACGGCUAACUCUGUGCCAGCAGCCGCGGUAAUACAGAGGUCUCAAGCGUUGUUCGGAAUCACUGGGCGUAAAGCGUGCGUAGGCUGUUUCGUAAGUCGUGUGUGAAAGGCGCGGGCUCAACCCGCGGACGGCACAUGAUACUGCGAGACUAGAGUAAUGGAGGGGGAACCGGAAUUCUCGGUGUAGAAGGGAAAUGCGUAGAUAUCGAGAGGAACACUCGUGGCGAAGGCGGGUUCCUGGACAUUAACUGACGCUGAGGCACGAAGGCCAGGGGAGCGAAAGGGAUUAGAUACCCGGGUAGUC